GACGAACGCUGGCGGCGUGCUUAACACAUGCAAGUCGAACGGAAAGGCCCUGCUUUUGUGGGGUGCUCGAGUGGCGAACGGGUGAGUAACACGUGAGUAACCUGCCCUUGACUUUGGGAUAACUUCAGGUAACUGGGGCUAAUACCGGAUAGGAGCUCCUGCUGCAUGGUGGGGGUUGGAAAGUUUCGGCGGUUGGGGAUGGAUUCGCGGCUUAUCAGCUUGUUGGUGGGGUAGUGGCUUACCAAGGCUUUGACGGGUAGCCGGCCUGAGAGGGUGACCGGCCACAUUGGGACUGAGAUACGGACCAGACUCCUACGGGAGGCAGCAGUGGGGAAUAUUGCACAAUGGGCGGAAGCCUGAUGCAGCAACGCCGCGUGCGGGAUGACGGCCUUCGGGUUGUAAACCGCUUUCGCCUGUGACGAAGCGUGAGUGACGGUAAUGGGUAAAGAAGCACCGGCUAACUACGUG
This 468-nucleotide ribosomal RNA is filed under the name uncultured bacterium. RNAcentral's name for it is "partial 16S ribosomal RNA". It matches the Rfam family "Bacterial small subunit ribosomal RNA", at positions 28 to 507 of the family's 1533-position model. The record is from RNAcentral.